This 464-nucleotide ribosomal RNA is filed under the name uncultured bacterium. Its description in RNAcentral is "partial 16S ribosomal RNA". It matches the Rfam family "Bacterial small subunit ribosomal RNA", at positions 339 to 795 of the family's 1533-position model. The record is from RNAcentral.
GUACGGGGGGCAGCAGUGGGGAAUAUUGCACAAUGGGCGCAAGCCUGAUGCAGCCAUGCCGCGUGUAUGAAGAAGGCCUUCGGGUUGUAAAGUACUUUCAGCGGGGAGGAAGGGAGUAAAGUUAAUACCUUUGCUCAUUGACGUUACCCGCAGAAGAAGCACCGGCUAACUCCGUGCCAGCAGCCGCGGUAAUACGGAGGGUGCAAUCGUUAAUCGUAAUUACUGGGCGUAAAGCGCACGCAGGCGGUUUGUUAAGUCAGAUGUGAAAUCCCCGGGCUCAACCUGGGAACUGCAUCUGAUACUGGCAAGCUUGAGUCUCGUAGAGGGGGGUAGAAUUCCAGGUGUAGCGGUGAAAUGCGUAGAGAUCUGGAGGAAUACCGGUGGCGAAGGCGGCCCCCUGGACGAAGACUGACGCUCAGGUGCGAAAGCGUGGGGAGCAAACAGGAUUAGAUACCCCUGUAGUC